This 148-nucleotide non-coding RNA is filed under the name Nomascus leucogenys (northern white-cheeked gibbon). The record is from Rfam by way of RNAcentral. Lineage: Eukaryota; Metazoa; Chordata; Mammalia; Primates; Hylobatidae.
GCCAGGCAUGGUGGCGUGUGCCUGUAAUCCCAGCUACUCGGGAGGCUGAGGCAGGAGAAUCGCUUGAACCUGGGAGGUGGAGGUUGGAGUGAGCUGAGAUCCUGCCACUGCACUCCAGCCUGGGUGACAGAGCGAGACUCUGUCUCAA